This 835-nucleotide ribosomal RNA is filed under the name unidentified microorganism. RNAcentral's name for it is "bacterial SSU rRNA". It matches the Rfam family "Bacterial small subunit ribosomal RNA", at positions 51 to 883 of the family's 1533-position model. The record is from RNAcentral.
ACACAUGCAAGUCGAACGGCAGCGCGCGGGCAACCUGGCGGCGAGUGGCGAACGGGUGAGUAAUAUAUCGGAACGUACCCAAGAGUGGGGGAUAACGUAGCGAAAGUUACGCUAAUACCGCAUACGAUCNAUGGAUGAAAGCAGGGGACCGCAAGGCCUUGUGCUCCUGGAGCGGCCGAUAUCUGAUUAGCUAGUUGGUGAGGUAAAGGCUCACCAAGGCGACGAUCAGUAGCUGGUCUGAGAGGACGACCAGCCACACUGGAACUGAGACACGGUCCAGACUCCUACGGGAGGCAGCAGUGGGGAAUUUUGGACAAUGGGCGCAAGCCUGAUCCAGCAAUGCCGCGUGAGUGAAGAAGGCCUUCGGGUUGUAAAGCUCUUUUGUCAGGGAAGAAACGGUGGAGGNUAAUACCUUCCACUAAUGACGGUACCUGAAGAAUAAGCACCGGCUAACUACGUGCCAGCAGCCGCGGUAAUACGUAGGGUGCAAGCGUUAAUCGGAAUUACUGGGCGUAAAGCGUGCGCAGGCGGUUUUGUAAGUCUGUCGUGAAAGCCCCGGGCUCAACCUGGGAAUUGCGAUGGAGACUGCAAGGCUUGAAUCUGGCAGAGGGGGGUAGAAUUCCACGUGUAGCAGUGAAAUGCGUAGAGAUGUGGAGGAACACCGAUGGCGAAGGCAGCCCCCUGGGUCAAGAUUGACGCUCAUGCACGAAAGCGUGGGGAGCAAACAGGAUUAGAUACCCUGGUAGUCCACGCCCUAAACGAUGUCUACUAGUUGUCGGGUUUUAAUUAACUUGGUAACGCAGCUAACGCGUGAAGUAGACCGCCUGGGGAGUAC